UGUGUGUUCUGUAGUGUUGUAUUUUUUUUUAUUGUAGAUGUAAUAAGUUGUAUAUGUAUGAUGCGAGUAAAAAAAAUUCUAAACGGAAAUUCCCUAAUCAAAUGGCAAGAUCGUAAGCUCAAACACGUCAAACGAAUGGAUCACAACUGUCAUAUUCCUGACUUGGUACAGACAUUUUGUUAUGUGGAAAAUGGUGGAUUAAACCUGGUUUUAUAGCUAGCUAAACA
RNAcentral lists this long non-coding RNA (227 nucleotides) under Mytilus galloprovincialis (Mediterranean mussel). The record is from RNAcentral. Lineage: Eukaryota; Metazoa; Mollusca; Bivalvia; Mytilida; Mytilidae.